GAUGAACGCUGGCGGCGUGCCUAAUACAUGCAAGUCGAGCGAACGGACGAGAAGCUUGCUUCUCUGAUGUUAGCGGCGGACGGGUGAGUAACACGUGGAUAACCUACCUAUAAGACUGGGAUAACUUCGGGAAACCGGAGCUAAUACCGGAUAAUAUUUUGAACCGCAUGGUUCAAAAGUGAAAGACGGUCUUGCUGUCACUUAUAGAUGGAUCCGCGCUGCAUUAUCUAGUUGGUAAGGUAACGGCAUACCAAGGCAACGAUGCAUAGCCGACCUGAGAGGGUGAACGGCCACACUGGAACGGAGACACGGCCAAGACUCCUACGGGAGGCAGCAGUAGGGAAUCUUCCGCAAUGGGCGAAAGACUGACGGAGCAACGCCGCGUGAGUGAUGAAGGUCUUCGGAUCGUAAAACUCUGUUAUUAGGGAAGAACAUAUGUGUAAGUAACUGUGCACACCUUGACGGUACCUAAUCAGAAAGCCACGGCUAACUACGUG
This 497-nucleotide ribosomal RNA is filed under the name uncultured bacterium. RNAcentral's name for it is "partial 16S ribosomal RNA". It matches the Rfam family "Bacterial small subunit ribosomal RNA", at positions 28 to 507 of the family's 1533-position model. The record is from RNAcentral.